RNAcentral lists this small RNA (1449 nucleotides) under Pongo abelii (Sumatran orangutan). Its description in RNAcentral is "retained intron". Lineage: Eukaryota; Metazoa; Chordata; Mammalia; Primates; Hominidae. The record is from RNAcentral.
UCUUUCUUCACUCUGAAGCCAAGAGCAGACCUGCUGAGCCCUCAAGAAAGAUCAGAACAGAUUCAUGGGUGAUUUAGCCUAUCUGUCCCAGGCCAGGGUGGCUGAGUGUGCUGACUGGAGGCCUCUCUCUCUGCUUCGAGUGUAGCUGAGAUCCACCCCGGAAACCGGCACGAUGAAGGGAGCAAGUGAGGAGAAGCUGGCAUCUGUGUCCAACCUGGUCACUGUGUUUGAGAAUAGCAGGACCCCAGAAGCAGCACCCAGAGGCCACAGGCUAGAGGACGUGCAUCACUGCCCUGAGCACAGGCCUCCCGAGUCCCCAGGACCACGGGGGAAGGUGAAUGUUGGGGAGGCCGUGGGGUCUGAGCCCAGGACAGUCAGCAGGAGGUACCUGAACUCCCUGAAGAACAAGCUGUCCAGCGGAGCCUGGAGGAAAUCUUGCCAGCCUGCGACCCUCUCAGGAUCGGGGACGCAGGUGCCUGAGGGCUGGGGUAGAGGUGUGGGGUGCCGGGGUGGGGAGCUCUCCCUGACCUCCCCUCCACACAUUCUUCCCUAGCCAGAGCCAGCAGUUCCCCAGGUGGGGGUGUUGUGUGAUCAGAGGUCAGCUGGGAGCUAGAUUUCCCCAUGCUUAAUGGCCUUUGAUUCACUAACUGCCUGCUACACACCGUGCUGGAUUACUUUGUGAGUCCCUCGUGUAGGAGUUUUUUGGACAAGGAAGUUGAAACACAGACAGUUUUAAGGAACUUAUUCAAGGCCACACAGCUUGGAACAGUCGCCAUCUUGUGAACUUGAUACUCUUCUCAGGUGGGGCCUCAGUUUACCCACUGGAGGAGACAACAAUCUCAACAUAGAAAUAGAGGUCUGAGUGUGAACUGUCCUGCCCUUAGGCUAAAGCCCGGUCUGAUCUCUUCUGUGGCUUGCAGUUUUCUCAUCUGCAGAGUUCAAGGGUUGGCAUGCAGAUACUGUGCACCCAAAUUCCCUGGAGUCACAUCCUAGCACAUCUGCUUACUAACUGUGUGUCCUUGGGCAAGUCACUUGAGUCUCUUUGUGCCAGUUUCCUCAUUUGUAAAAUGGGAAUAGUGAUUGUAGUAAUGUGUCCUGGUUUUCAAUCGCUGCUGAACAAACCUCUCAAAAAUAUAGCGGCUGGCCGGGCGCAGUAGCUCACGCCUGUAAUCCCAGCACUUUAGGAGGCCGAGGUGGGCAGAUCACCUGAGGUCAGGAGUUCAAGACCAGCCUGGCCAACAUAGGGAAACACUGUCUCAGCUAAAAAUACAAAAAUUAGUCAGGCGUGGUGGUGGGUGCCUAUAAUCCCAGCUACUCAGGAGGCUGAGACAGGAGAAUCACUUGAAUCCAGGAGGAGGAGGUUGCAGUGAGCCGAGAUCACGCCACUCCACUCCAGCCUGGGUGACAGAGCAAGACUCCGUCUCAAAAAAAAAAAAAAAAAAAAAGAUA